UUGAACGCUGGCGGCAUGCUUUACACAUGCAAGUCGAACGGCAGCACGGGCUUCGGCCUGGUGGCGAGUGGCGAACGGGUGAGUAAUGCAUAGGAACGUACCGAGUAAUGGGGGAUAACGCGUCGAAAGAUGUGCUAAUACCGCAUACGCCCUGAGGGGGAAAGUGGGGGAUCGUAAGACCUCACGUUAUUCGAGCGGCCUAUGCCUGAUUAGCUAGUUGGUGGGGUAAAGGCCUACCAAGGCGACGAUCAGUAGCUGGUCUGAGAGGAUGAUCAGCCACACUGGGACUGAGACACGGCCCAGACUCCUACGGGAGGCAGCAGUGGGGAAUUUUGGACAAUGGGGGCAACCCUGAUCCAGCCAUGCCGCGUGAGUGAAGAAGGCCUUCGGGUUGUAAAGCUCUUUCGGAGGGGAAGAAACGGUUACGGCCAAUACCCGUGACUAAUGACGGUACCCUAAGAAGAAGCACCGGCUAACUACGU
RNAcentral lists this ribosomal RNA (482 nucleotides) under uncultured bacterium. RNAcentral's name for it is "bacterial SSU rRNA". It matches the Rfam family "Bacterial small subunit ribosomal RNA", at positions 30 to 506 of the family's 1533-position model. The record is from RNAcentral.